GCAUUGGUGGUUCAGUGGUAGAAUUCUCGACUGCCACACAGGAGGCCGGGGUUCAAUUCCCGGCCAAUGCA
Molecule: transfer RNA, 71 nt
Filed under: Cricetulus griseus (Chinese hamster)
Lineage: Eukaryota; Metazoa; Chordata; Mammalia; Rodentia; Cricetidae
Rfam family: tRNA
About the family: Transfer RNA (tRNA) molecules are approximately 80 nucleotides in length. Their secondary structure includes four short double-helical elements and three loops (D, anti-codon, and T loops).
Source: Rfam by way of RNAcentral